RNAcentral lists this ribosomal RNA (253 nucleotides) under uncultured bacterium. RNAcentral describes it as "partial 16S ribosomal RNA". It matches the Rfam family "Bacterial small subunit ribosomal RNA", at positions 524 to 776 of the family's 1533-position model. The record is from RNAcentral.
CACGUAGGAGGCGAGCGUUGUCCGGAAUCAUUGGGCGUAAAGAGCGCGCAGGCGGCUUGGCAAGUCGGGUGUGAAAUCCCGGGGCUCAACCCCGUGACUGCAUCCGAUACUGUCAGGCUAGAAGUAGGUAGGGGAGAUCGGAAUUCCUGGUGUAGCGGUGAAAUGCGCAGAUAUCAGGAGGAACACCGGUGGCGAAGGCGGAUCUCUGGGCCUUACCUGACGCUCAGGCGCGAAAGCUAGGGGAGCGAACGGG